UACAGAGGCCCCAAGCAUUAUCCGGAUUUACUGGGCGUAAAGGGUGCGUAGGCGGUGUGAUUAGUCGGGUGUUAAAUCCUGGGGCUCAACCUCAGAAUCGCAUUCGAAACGGUCAUACUAGAAGGUGUGAGAGGCAAGCGGAAUUCCGGGUGUAGCGGUGGAAUGCGUAGAGAUCUGGAAGAACACCAGUAGCGAAGGCGGUCGACUGGCCCGUAACUGACGCUCAGGCACGAAAGCGUGGGGAGCGAACAGG
This 253-nucleotide ribosomal RNA is filed under the name uncultured bacterium. RNAcentral's name for it is "partial 16S ribosomal RNA". It matches the Rfam family "Bacterial small subunit ribosomal RNA", at positions 524 to 776 of the family's 1533-position model. The record is from RNAcentral.